Molecule: long non-coding RNA, 295 nt
Filed under: Medicago truncatula (barrel medic)
Lineage: Eukaryota; Viridiplantae; Streptophyta; Magnoliopsida; Fabales; Fabaceae
Description: long non-coding RNA (MTRU_LNC006484)
Source: RNAcentral
CCAUUCUGAUUUGUCUGUUUUGCUAACAACCAAACUAUAAUAAUGGCAUCCAUGAUUAUACUAUACAUCCGAAUUAUAACCAUCCUUAAUAUUAUUGACGCAAGCUCAAAAUCAUUGUGAAGAUGACUUCACAAUUAGCAUGCCCAUUCUGUUUCAGUUGUGGAUUAAACGAAUAUGACACGUGAUUGGUCACUUCUUCUUGUGUUAUUGGAAGGUGAGAAGUCCCUUUUCCAUAUUUUGGUGCUACCAAGUUGUUGCUUUCUCUAGCGUGUGCAAGAUCGAGAAGGUAAGGAAC